GAUAACUCAUGUUAGGUGGAAUCUCCUUACUUAUCUUUGAGACAUUAUGCCAUUCAUUAGUUCUUCUAAGGUUGUAGGCUCACGCAAACCCUUUAGCUCUAAUACUACUAAUGCAAGCCAUCAACUAGGCCAUUCCCAAGGCCAUGAAUAAGGUGCCCUUUUGUUUUACUAACCUUAUCAGAAUAAGGGGACCGUAGCAAUAAAUCAAGAAUUAUGCAUAGUAAUAUUAUUAAAUUUAGUGGACAAUAUUAAAAAUAAUCUGCCUCAAGGGGGCAAUGGGGCAUGUAAAUUCGCCCGUGCGUACAGGGAUGCUGCGCAGGACAUGCUUGAUCUGUUUUUGGGUCCCUUGCUCAAGAAACUGCUCUAGAGGAUGAGAAGAGAAGUGCGUUUACGAAGGAUGUGGAUUUGGUCUAUGAGUUGAGAAGGCAAAGUUAGAAUGAUGUUGCAGAAGAAAUAGUUCUCCUGAAUAUGAAGAAAAACAGUGUCAAAGACAAGAUGCUCUUGAGGAUGAUGAUCGGAUGAAGGUUGUAUUUCAGGUGAUUGUCUUAUUAUUUGAAAAUCUAGCUGACGAGUUUAGUCGAUCAUAUGGUAAAAGGAUUUAGAUUCUUGAAUCUGUUGCGAAAGUUCGGUCAUGUGUGAUGAUGUUGGAUCUUGAAUGUGAUGUUUUGAUAAUUGAGAUGUUCUAGCAUUUUUUUUUUUAAUGAUAUAAGGGAUCAUCACCAAGAGAAUAUCUUUUUCAUUCAUGGAGACAGCCAUUAGAAGAAAUUUAAGACGUCUCUCCAAAAUUGCUUUCUCCUCUUUUAGCUAUUGUAAAAAGCGGCAAUGUGGAAGUUCUACCUGUUGCUUGUGAGUUGGGAUAAAAAGUACUUCAAAGUUGUGCUAACAAGGUUAAGCCUUACUUGCAACAUGUUGUGCAAUCAUUGUGUAUUUCCUUAGAUGAUUAUAGUGAAAUAAUGCCUCUAUAUGCCAAUUUGGUACUGUUGAACAAAAUGAUGCCCAUGAUACUGAUGUAACUAUGUUAAAGAAAGCAAAUCAGUUGGAGUGUCAUUGCUGAUAAAGAAAUAACAGCUGCAGCAGGUUCUCCUAAUCAAGCUGAUCCUAUAAAUAAUAAAUCUUCUAACUCGGUUGUUUCAAUGGUGUUGCACAGAAUGGUGAAGGCGAUUCCUUGGCAGAUUCUUGUUCCUUAAAGACACAAGAUGAUGGUAAUCAUACUGAUCAGUCAAAAAGCAUUGACAUGUUCAGCAAUAUUAAGAAUGGUAUUUUGGAUACCAAGAAGAAAGUUAAAAGUCUAUCUAAUUCUCUUUUCCUAUUACAUUCACCAGCAUUCAGUUGCAGUUGUGACUGAUUUUAUCUUUUCGAUCUUCUUGGGGAUGUGAGGAAAGAAUAAAGUUCUUCAUUCAAUCGUAUUGCUACCAUCAAAGAAGAUGAAGUUGCUUGUUCUUCAAAUUCAGUUUCUGAUUCUUCACCACAACAAAACUCAAGGUUGAGUUUUCUCUAAUGAGAGGAGAAUGAUGUAGUUAAUGAAUAUUCAAUUUAUGAAUUAUGUUGAUUUAAUUUUUCAUUAAAAUUUAAUUAGGAAGUAAUAUUUUUAUUAUUUAAGAAUAUAUAAAGAGUUUUUAGGUUUAGUAUUUUCCUAUUUAGCAUUGGUUUGGGAUUCCUAAUCAGAGAUUGCUUAGUAAUUUCUUGUUUAGAGUUCUAACAGGACUAGUUAAUAAACUAUAAAUACUUAUGUCUUCUACAUAUUUUGAUAGAGUUUACUAUGAUAUUAUUAUUGAGAAUUAAUUAAAUUUGAGUCCAUAUUGAGAA
Hevea brasiliensis (rubber tree) is the source of this 1806-nucleotide RNA transcript. It is a transcript of the gene named sister chromatid cohesion protein PDS5 homolog C, with no coding region annotated. The record is from RefSeq and is a predicted model, not a curated record. NCBI's taxonomy places the organism in Eukaryota, Viridiplantae, Streptophyta, Magnoliopsida, Malpighiales, Euphorbiaceae. The transcript is spliced from 2 exons.